CAAAACUUGAAAAUUUCAAAUUGAAUUUUUGGUGUUUUUUCCAUGGAAUCUUUUUGGUAUUUGGUCAAACAUAUAACUAUGUUAACCUCUUCAAUUUCUAAAACAUUUUAAGUGGUAAGCUCUUGUUGAUUCAGAAAUACAUGCCUCCGCUCGCAAAACUUCAAACUGCAUUAUCUCUAAAACGACAAUAGAUAUCUCAAAACUGUUAAAAAUGAUCAAUGAUCUACAGUUGAAGGACAACAUUAUAGAAAAAGAAUUGGGACAAUUUCAAAGUUCACCAAGGUCACAAUUAAUCAUCAAAUAUAUGAUGCAAUACCAAACUUGAGAACCGGAAGUCGUAGAGACAUAGGACUAUCACCAUUCAACUCAGGACCACUUGACCUUUCAAAUAUCACAAGGUCAAGGUCAUAGUAUAAUGUGAAGGUCAAGGUGAAAUUUCAUCAUGACCUGACAUUGAUCUCAAAUUAUAGGUCUUGAACUACUGAUCAUCUUUGCAGUUUAUAGUAGGUUGAUAUCUGUUACCUUUAAAAAGAUAUACACAUAAUACUAUACUUUUAAGAAUCAUCCCGUCGUAACUUUUGAACAGACAGUCGGAAUCUUUUUAGCUCAGUUCAUAAAAUGUAGAGCUCGUCGAGAGGAACAUUUUAUACGCUGUAAGUAUGCAGCAAACUCUUAUCGUUUUCUUAAUAUGAAAGCUUGAAAUUGCAGCGUAAUUUUUUUUUUGCACUCAGUGACCUUUGACCUUGGGUGCAAAUUAAAGGUCACAUAAACUUAAGAUUAUUGGUGUAGGUCCCAAGUCUUUACGACUUCCGGUUUUGAGAUAUAAAUUUUCAAAAAUUGUGUAUAUUUUUUCAAGGGAAAUAACUCCUUAUAAGGGUUAACAACAAAAUGAUUGUAUAUGUCAAUUAACAUUGCCAUCUGGUCUUGUACAUGUUGCCGUUUUCAAAUGGAUUCUAUCUUGAAUACUUUUUGAGAAAAAUGUAAAAGAAAGAAAUUGCUUCAAGGGGAUAUAACUCUCAUAGGGAAUGAUGAAAUCCUUAGCAGCCUCAUAUGGUAACACAUCAUGAUGAGAUCUAACUAUUGUCCAAAUAAGGUCAUGAUAUCUUAAAAAACAACGAGGGGGGGGGGCAUGUCGAAAAAAACCAAUAAAAGGGAGAUAACUUCUAAAGGGGAUGAUGAAAUCCUACACAGCCUCAUCUGGUAAUACUUCAUGAUGAGGUCUACCGAUGGUCCAUAUUUGGUCUUGAUAACUCCAAUAGAAACGAGGGGAGGCCAUGUCAAACAAAUGCUGGAUGAAAAAAAAAAAAAAAAAAAAAAAACAGGAGAAAAACAAUAAGGUCUUUCCUCGCGGAGAGGAAAGACCUUAACAAUAAGGUCUUUCCUCGCGGAGAGGAAAGACCUUAAAAACACUAGUAUCUCAAUUGUUUGUAAAACAAUUGAAAGGUCUUUCCUGUAAAAGUGAUGUUUUCGUAAUGUUCUUUGUACGACCUUUCGUUUGAUAUACGACAAGCAUACCUUCUGAAACUUUUCGCUUUUUACACUUAAUGACCUCAUCUGCC
Molecule: long non-coding RNA, 1559 nt
Filed under: Mytilus galloprovincialis (Mediterranean mussel)
Lineage: Eukaryota; Metazoa; Mollusca; Bivalvia; Mytilida; Mytilidae
Source: RNAcentral